GCAAUGUUGGAGUAGUGGUAAGCCUCUUCUCUCCGCGUUCAGAAAAUGUCGACUAAUAAAUAAUAGGUUAACUUGUUCCCUUCCCAUUUUUGAAUGAAGAGGGAGAGACUCGGGUUCGAAUCCCGGACACUGCG
Non-coding RNA from Acephala macrosclerotiorum, 134 nucleotides. The record is from the annotation of a GenBank genome assembly. Lineage: Eukaryota; Fungi; Ascomycota; Leotiomycetes; Helotiales; Mollisiaceae.